AUCCACUGAGGUCAUGGAGCUGACAUUCUUGAUAAGCUUCCUACUGAUCUUCCCUACAUAUGUUUCAUCCCAGAUUACCCUGUCAGAGUCUGGUGGUGGUGUGAAGAGGCCUGGAGAGACGCUACAACUGACAUGUAGCGUGUCUGGAUUUUCUCUCACAAGCUAUGGCAUGGACUGGGUCCGUCAACCCCCAGGAAAGGGACUGGAGUGGACUGGAGUUAUCUGGAGUGGUGGAAGCACUCACUACAAUAGCGCUCUGCAAUCUCGGAUCACCAUCACAAGGGACACCUCCCAAAGCAAGGUUUUCCUGCAACUGAGGGACCUGAAGAAUGAAGACUCUGCCAUGUAUUACUGUGCGAGAGACACACUGAGGAAACCCUUCUGA
Non-coding RNA from Elgaria multicarinata webbii, 385 nucleotides. The record is from the annotation of a RefSeq genome assembly. NCBI's taxonomy places the organism in Eukaryota, Metazoa, Chordata, Lepidosauria, Squamata, Anguidae.